GCUUUACCACGCACAACUUUCAGGUGAGAAGAGAAGAGGGAAAAUGACGGUAGCAGCAGGAAUCGGAUACGCCCUGCUUGCUUUAGGACCUUCUCUUUCACUCUUCGUCUCUGUUAUCUCCAAGAAGCCGUUCUUGAUCCUCACUGUUCUCUCCAGUACUCUGUUAUGGCUUGUAAGUCUCAUUGUGCUUUCGGGAGUUUGGAGGGCAUUUCUUCCUCUAAAAUCAACAGUAUGGUGGCCAUACGCAUUACUUAUAGUUUCAUCAGUAAGUUUCCAGGAAGGGCUUCGGAUUCUUUUUUGGAAAGUUUACAAGCGGUUGGAAGACAUAUUGGAUGCUUUUGCUGAUAGGGUCUCCAAACCACGCUUAUUUCUGACAGAUAAGAUGCUGAUUGCUUUAGCUGGUGGUUUAGGUCAUGGUGUAGCCCAUGCUGUGUUUUUCUGUCUUAGCCUUUUAACACCAGCAUUUGGCCCAGCGACAUUCUUUGUUGAUAGUUGUUCACAGAUUCCAUUUUUUCUUGUUUCUGCUAUUAUUGCGCUUGCAUUCGUUACAAUUCACACUUUCUCAAUGGUCAUCGCAUUUAAUGGGUAUGCAGAAGGGAACAGAAUAGACCAAUUUUUUGUCCCCAUAGUUCAUCUUGUUGCAGGAUUGGUGACACUGGCCAAUUUUGCAUAUGGGGGUUGCAUUGUUGGGAUUCCUCUUCUUUAUCUCAUGGCACUAUUAACCUUAUUGCAUUGUGGGAAAAUGGUGUGGAGAAGAUUAACAGAAAAUGGAAGCACGCAGUGAUUAAUAGUGAACAUAUGUUUGUAAAGUCUCAUCAUCUUUAUUCCAGUCAAUAGUGUGAAUUCCUCCUGUGGAAUAGUACAAUCAAGAGCACCGAAGACUUUACCUUGCAGAUGAAAGACGUGUUUUGCGAGUACACUGCAGGAUCCAAGUACGUACGUUAUUCAAGCUUUAUCAUUACAAAAACCCAGAAGCUCCUGAGACUCAUUCAAAGAUGAUGUUUUGUAAUAGAUUAUGCAGCUCAAGUCCUAAUAUGAAUUCCUAUUUCAGCUUGAAAUCCUUAACUUGCUUUGUGGGAAGAUAAUUUAUAUUGCAAUCGAAUUGUGUAACAUGGUGCCUUACACAUCCUACUCUAAGCACAAUGAUCGACUCUUUCUUCCUCAUCAGAAGAGCUAGAAAGCAUGUCUUCCUUCUUUAUUUCUAUAGUUAUCCAACUCAAUCCAAUAUAGAAACAUGAUUUUACUUGUAAAACAACUACUUCCUUUUGAAUUAAUUUUGUUUAAUUAAACCAUGAAAAAAAAAAAAAAGAACUUGCAGCGUUAUUUUGACCGAUCCAAAGGGUGCGAUUAUUUUAUGAACCACCCUGAUUUCUACAUGCUCACUUCCUGGCAACUCUGGUCUGAGGUUUCCAACAUGUCGUAAUGACCAUAUCCAUGAAAAAGCACAUUAAUGGGAUUUGCUUGAUCCUUCCCAUACUCUUCACCAUAAUUUGCUAUGUUUACCAAAUUACCUGAUGUCCUAUCUAUCAUGAAGACUGAAAUCAUAGUCCUGAGCCAUUGAGUGAAAAGAUUUGUCAAUUUUUGAGGUCACAAGUAAAAUGAAAUUUAUAACAAUUCAAACUCAGUAAGCAAGUUCAAUUAUGAUGAUGAGAGCAUUUUUGAACAAUCGAUUGAAAAACAACAGAAUUCUUUUUGCAUCGACAUCAUUCAAUAGCAUAUCGUUUGAUUUAAUUGCCAUCCUAUCAAGAAAAUUGAAGCAACAACAAUUUUGCAAGAUUGUCAAAAUUUCUCCCUUACCAUUAAACGGCAGCAAAAAUGGAACAAGUAUAAACUUCCAGCUCAAACACAUGUAAUAGAAAUUGCAUACUCUGAAACACAAUGGAAUGAUACAGAUACCUAAGGCCAAUUAUUAUCUUGGAGAUACUUUGAGAAAAACUAAUAAUGGACAAUCAGGGAUUGGCUAGAAAAUUGUGUGUAAAGUGUAAACUGCUCCAAAUUCGUGCUAUAGCAAUCAAAGCAUAUGAAAAUAUAAGAAACAGUUUAGAACUCACUUCAAAACAUGUGAAGCCAUGAGCAACUCAGGUUCUCCACCCCAUACAUAAGGUUGUUGAAUUCUCUUGACAUAUGCAUCAAAAUCUCCUUCUAUAAACCUAAAUUGAUUACAAUCGAAAAAAAAAUCAAAAUAAAUAUCAUUCAAAUCCAUUUUUCAUUAGCCAAUAACAGGAAGCUUGCAAAUUCUACUAAAACAGAGCUUACCAUUCAGUUUCUUCACGCCUCUUUAAAAGCUCAUCCACCACCUACAAAAUCUAAUGUUAGUUAUCAAUGGCAGAAGAUAUCUAUGCAUAUAUAGAGAGAGGGUAAUGUUGAGUUCUCUUAUCAAUAUGAAACUUACUCGAGCUCUUAGUUCAUCAGCGAGUUCUCUUUGGCGAUUUUCAUCAGGGGCUUCUUCCCCACUUCUCAAACAAGCACUGUGAGCUAUUGCUCUAAACAAGCAUCGCCCAUCAGCCAGCACUCCUGUGACCUUAAAAUCAGCAGAAUUGUCAUUUUUCACAUCAGAACUAUAAAUCCCACUUGGAUCAGUCUUCACAUCAGCAGCAACGCUCUCGGGAUUAACGUCGGCCCAAAAAUCAAUGGGCGCUAGACACGCACAAACGCCGAACAGUAGCCAAGCAGAGUCAGGCCGAUGGAGCCAGCGAGCAGGCCUCGCAUCCCAUGCGACGUUCCACGAUCCUUCUCCUCUGGGUUCAGCCAGCAGCCGCCGUGCACUACUCCUCCCGUUAAAUCCUGAUGGCUGGAUCGCAUGCCAUAUGGAGGCGACGCCACCACUGGAAGCGACGAGACGACAGGCGCUGGAGUGGUGGCGCUGCCGAGAGGAGAUGCAGGAAUCGCCAAAGUGUAUAGGAGUAUGCAGUCGGGUGUAGUGAGCUGAUGAAAAGCCGUAGAAGUGCGUGAGAGAGGUGAGGAUCCAAGGCUUUGGGCGUGCACAGAGUACACCGAGCAUAGCAGUGGUAGUUGAUGCUAUUUUGCGCCUGAGUUAAACUUAGCACGCACCCAUAGCUUCAAAAGGCUACAAGCUUUAUAUUAAGAGAGCUAUGCCGAUGAAAAUUUUGUAGGUGACAGUACUUUUUAUUUUUUUGGGUGUUUUU
This 3146-nucleotide unclassified non-coding RNA is filed under the name Hevea brasiliensis (rubber tree). The record is from RNAcentral. Lineage: Eukaryota; Viridiplantae; Streptophyta; Magnoliopsida; Malpighiales; Euphorbiaceae.